Molecule: ribosomal RNA, 492 nt
Filed under: uncultured bacterium
Lineage: Bacteria
Description: partial 16S ribosomal RNA
Rfam family: Bacterial small subunit ribosomal RNA
Source: RNAcentral
AGUGAACGCUGGCGGUAGGCCUAACACAUGCAAGUCGAACGGCAGCACAGUAAGAGCUUGCUCUUACGGGUGGCGAGUGGCGGACGGGUGAGGAAUACAUCGGAAUCUACUUUUUCGUGGGGGAUAACGUAGGGAAACUUACGCUAAUACCUCAUACGACCUACGGGUGAAAGCAGGGGAUCUUCGUACCUUGCGCGAUUGAAUGAGCCGAUGUCGGAUUAGCUAGUUGGCGGGGUAAAGGCCCACCAAGGCUACGAUCCGUAGCUGGUCUGAGAGGAUGAUCAGCCACACUGGAACUGAGACACGGUCCAGACUCCUACGGGAGGCAGCAGUGGGGAAUAUUGGACAAUGGGCGCAAGCCUGAUCCAGCCAUACCGCGUGGGUGAAGAAGGCCUUCGGGUUGUAAAGCCCUUUUGUUGGGAAAGAAAAGCAGCAGGUUAAUACCCCGCUGUUCUGACGGUACCCAAAGAAUAAGCACCGGCUAACUUCGUG